RNAcentral lists this ribosomal RNA (173 nucleotides) under uncultured bacterium. RNAcentral describes it as "partial 16S ribosomal RNA". It matches the Rfam family "Bacterial small subunit ribosomal RNA", at positions 598 to 771 of the family's 1533-position model. The record is from RNAcentral.
AAAUGCGGGGCUCAACUCCGUAUUGCGUUGGAAAUUGCCUAACUAGAGUAUCGGAGAGGUGGGCGGAACUACAAGUGUAGAGGUGAAAUUCGUAGAUAUUUGUAGGAAUGCCAAUGGGGAAGCCAGCCUACUGGACAGAUACUGACGCUAAAGCGCGAAAGCGUGGGUAGCAA